UCAAAUCAGGUAGGACUACCCGCUGAACUUAAGCAUAUCAAUA
This 43-nucleotide ribosomal RNA is filed under the name Battarrea stevenii. RNAcentral's name for it is "partial 28S ribosomal RNA". RNAcentral also lists the same sequence under 1 other name. Lineage: Eukaryota; Fungi; Basidiomycota; Agaricomycetes; Agaricales; Agaricaceae. The record is from RNAcentral.